Molecule: long non-coding RNA, 1638 nt
Filed under: Helianthus annuus (common sunflower)
Lineage: Eukaryota; Viridiplantae; Streptophyta; Magnoliopsida; Asterales; Asteraceae
Description: hypothetical non coding rna
Source: RNAcentral
AGGGUUUAGGUUUUUGGGUGGGGGGGUAGGUUUUUGGGUGGUGGUGGGGUAGGGUGGGGGUGGGUGUUUAGGUUUUUGGUGGUGAUGUAGUGGGUUUAGUUUUAGGUUAUUGAACACUUGUCACUCUAUAAAUUCUUCUUACACUUCAAACAAUUAGAAGCCUUUUGUAGAAUAAUUUGACCCAUAAACAGCUAGCCCCUUCUCCUUUCUUCAAAACAUAACCCUUAAUCCAAAUCCACGUGAAAGACACACACAGAGGGGAGAAGAGAUGGGAGACAGACGGAGAAGUCUCGGUUUCGACACGGUGGCCGCGCCGAUCAUGGCUCUCCGGUGUCGACAUCACAGCCGGGUCCGCCGUACAUGGUGGUGGGGUUAUGUCGGUUCUCCGGCGUCGGCGGUGGUUCCAGGGUUUCCGGUCACCGCAACGGCGGCCAGCAGCUGUAAGUGGUUGCUAGGUUGUCGGUUGCUGUUUCUGUCGACAUCAGCAGAACUCGAUGACUUCAAGAAGCUCCGGCGAAACACCUAGGGUUCAGGUCCUAUUCCGGCGAAGUUCCAUCAAGAAGGAUUAAACCCCUCUACUUUCCGAUUAUACAACCCGAACCAGCCACCUUUUUCUCUACGUUGCUUCUUCCGCUUUUGAAAGCAUAAUGACCGCCAUCUACCCUUUUUGGGAGUCGCUGGAGGUAACAUCGCUCAAGUCAACAAACUCAGGUCGCCAAUUGGCUUCUUUCCGAUUUAACCACCACCCUCAUCAGAUGAACUGAUCAAGGCUUGCAUGUCUCAGAUCUGUGUAGAUCGGUAGCCACCCUCGACAACUUAGAACUACGCAUCAAAGAAAUUAAAGGACUUCCAUGCUGCCUAAUCCAAGGAAAACGGCUUCGCGCGAUUCUUUAUCCGGAGAAGACCCAACACCUUGACUUCAUCAAUAACACAAGCGUGAAUCCCCUUCUUUUUAUUGAAGAUAGCAUUUUUCCUGGCUCUCCAAAUAGCCCAGCAAGUAAUUAUCAUACCUAAAUGCACCAAUAUGUAUAGUUCAGUUUUACUUUGUAUUUUUAUAGAACCCAUCUGUAUAGUUCGGUUUUACUUUGUAAAUUAAACAUUGCUAUGGUUGUGAGAAAUAAAACUGACUCUCUUGCGCAACGCGCGUUGGCAAUAAUCCUAUUUAACUAUAAAAAUGUAAGGAGUUAAUUACGUUUUUCGUUCAUGUGGUUUGUCAAAAAUAACUAUUUCAGUCUAUGUAGUCAUUUCAAGUAAACUAACAAAAUAACUGGAUGGUGCUAGUAAAGAUGGACUGUAAUAGUUACGAAAGUGAAACCAUAGGUACUGUUUUGCCAAUUUUUAAACUAAGGAAUUGAAAUAAUGAUUUUUAAGGGGAGUGGGGUGGUCACUAGUGAUAGAAUUCCAUCACUCACAAGCAUCCAAUCAACUCCUGCCAUGUCAUCAGCCACUAUUCUAUCACUCACAAGCAUUUUUGUAAUGGCGGUGGUCACCAGUGAUAGAAUUCUAUCACUCACAAUUUUUUUUAAUUUUUAUUUUAAAAUUAGAAAUUAACAAUAAAACACUAAAAUUAUAAAUUGCAUUAAAAUUAAAACAUACUAGUUCAAUUUAACAUACUAGAAAUAUUUUAGGCUACAAUUU